Molecule: small RNA, 85 nt
Filed under: Escherichia coli
Lineage: Bacteria; Pseudomonadati; Pseudomonadota; Gammaproteobacteria; Enterobacterales; Enterobacteriaceae
Also listed under: 1 other name
Description: partial RtT sRNA
Rfam family: RtT RNA
About the family: This family represents a bacterial cis-regulatory element known as RtT RNA. The exact function of RtT is unknown although it is thought that it may be involved in changing the cellular response in relation to amino acid starvation.
Source: RNAcentral
UUGCAUUUGAAGCCCAUGAGGAUGAGAACCUCCGGGGGCGGGGAGGUUCGACUCGAGCGAAGCGAGAGAACGUUGCGCCAGCAAC